RNAcentral lists this ribosomal RNA (1852 nucleotides) under human oral metagenome. Its description in RNAcentral is "bacterial LSU rRNA". It matches the Rfam family "Bacterial large subunit ribosomal RNA", at positions 638 to 2487 of the family's 2925-position model. The record is from RNAcentral.
UAGCGAGCUUAACCGAAUAGGGGAGGCGUAGGGAAACCGAGUCUUAAUAGGGCGAACAGUUGCUGGGUGUAGACCCGAAACCGAGUGAUCUAUCCAUGGCCAGGUUGAAGGUGCCGUAACAGGUACUGGAGGACCGAACCCACGCAUGUUGCAAAAUGCGGGGAUGAGCUGUGGAUAGGGGUGAAAGGCUAAACAAACUCGGAGAUAGCUGGUUCUCCCCGAAAACUAUUUAGGUAGUGCCUCGAGCAAGACACUGAUGGGGGUAAAGCACUGUUAUGGCUAGGGGGUUAUUGCAACUUACCAACCCAUGGCAAACUAAGAAUACCAUCAAGUGGUUCCUCGGGAGACAGACAGCGGGUGCUAACGUCCGUUGUCAAGAGGGAAACAACCCAGACCGCCAGCUAAGGUCCCAAAUGAUAGAUUAAGUGGUAAACGAAGUGGGAAGGCCCAGACAGCCAGGAUGUUGGCUUAGAAGCAGCCAUCAUUUAAAGAAAGCGUAAUAGCUCACUGGUCGAGUCGUCCUGCGCGGAAGAUGUAACGGGGCUCAAAUCUAUAACCGAAGCUGCGGAUGCCAGUUUACUGGCAUGGUAGGGGAGCGUUCUGUAGGCCGAUGAAGGUGCAUUGUAAAGUGUGCUGGAGGUAUCAGAAGUGCGAAUGUUGACAUGAGUAGCGAUAAAGCGGGUGAAAAGCCCGCUCGCCGAAAGCCCAAGGUUUCCUACGCAACGUUCAUCGGCGUAGGGUGAGUCGGCCCCUAAGGCGAGGCAGAAAUGCGUAGUCGAUGGGAAACAGGUUAAUAUUCCUGUACUUGAUUCAAAUGCGAUGUGGGGACGGAGAAGGUUAGGUUAGCAAGCUGUUGGAAUAGCUUGUUUAAGCCGGUAGGUGGAAGACUUAGGCAAAUCCGGGUCUUCUUAACACCGAGAAGUGAUGACGAGUGUCUACGGACAUGAAGUAACCGAUACCACGCUUCCAGGAAAAGCCACUAAGCUUCAGUUUGAAUUGAACCGUACCGCAAACCGACACAGGUGGGCAGGAUGAGAAUUCUAAGGCGCUUGAGAGAACUCGGGAGAAGGAACUCGGCAAAUUGAUACCGUAACUUCGGGAGAAGGUAUGCCCUCUAAGGUUAAGGACUUGCUCCGUAAGCCCUGGAGGGUCGCAGAGAAUAGGUGGCUGCGACUGUUUAUUAAAAACACAGCACUCUGCUAACACGAAAGUGGACGUAUAGGGUGUGACGCCUGCCCGGUGCUGGAAGGUUAAUUGAAGAUGUGAGAGCAUCGGAUCGAAGCCCCAGUAAACGGCGGCCGUAACUAUAACGGUCCUAAGGUAGCGAAAUUCCUUGUCGGGUAAGUUCCGACCCGCACGAAUGGCGUAACGAUGGCCACACUGUCUCCUCCCGAGACUCAGCGAAGUUGAAGUGGUUGUGAAGAUGCAAUCUACCCGCUGCUAGACGGAAAGACCCCGUGAACCUUUACUGUAGCUUUGCAUUGGACUUUGAAGUCACUUGUGUAGGAUAGGUGGGAGGCUUAGAAGCAGAGACGCCAGUCUCUGUGGAGCCGUCCUUGAAAUACCACCCUGGUGUCUUUGAGGUUCUAACCCAGACCCGUAAUCCGGGUCGGGGACCGUGCAUGGUAGGCAGUUUGACUGGGGCGGUCUCCUCCCAAAGAGUAACGGAGGAGUUCGAAGGUUACCUAGGUCCGGUCGGAAAUCGGACUGAUAGUGCAAUGGCAAAAGGUAGCUUAACUGCGAGACCGACAAGUCGAGCAGGUGCGAAAGCAGGACAUAGUGAUCCGGUGGUUCUGUAUGGAAGGGCCAUCGCUCAACGGAUAAAAGGUACUCCGGGGAUAACAGGCUGAUU